RNAcentral lists this ribosomal RNA (804 nucleotides) under Triticum aestivum (bread wheat). RNAcentral describes it as "partial small subunit ribosomal RNA". Lineage: Eukaryota; Viridiplantae; Streptophyta; Magnoliopsida; Poales; Poaceae. The record is from RNAcentral.
AUGGGACACUUUGGCGUGAAGAAGACGGAGGACGUACUUGCUACACAUUUCUUUUGGCCAAAGAUGAGACGGGAUGUUGAGCGGGCUGUUUUGAAGAAUAAUAAGAAAAUGUGGGAAGAAUGCUUGCCUCAUAUUGAGUUUGCUUAUAAUCGUUCAUUGCAUUCUACUACUAAGAUGUGCCCUUUUGAAAUUGUGUAUGGUUUCCUACCUCGUGCACCUAUUGAUUUGUUGCCUCUUCCAUCUUCGGAGAAGGUUAAUUUUGAUGCUAAACAACGUGCUGAAUUGAUCUUAAAAAUGCAUGAGUUAACUAAGGAAAACAUUGAGCGUAUGAAUGCUAAAUAUAAACUUGCUGGAGAUAAGGGUAGAAAACAUGUUGUGUUUGCACCUGGAGAUCUUGUUUGGUUACAUUUGCGUAAGGAUAGAUUUCCAGAUUUGCGCAAAUCAAAGCUAAUGCCACGUGCUGAUGGUCCUUUUAAGGUGUUAGAGAAAAUUAAUGAUAAUGCAUAUAAACUUGAGCUGCCUGCAGAUUUUGGGGUUAGUCCCACUUUUAACAUUGCAGAUUUGAAGCCUUAUUUGGGUGAGGAAGAUGAGCUUCCGUCGAGGACGACUUCAUUUCAAGAAGGGGAGGAUGAUGAGGACAUCAAUACCAUUGUUACACCCACAGCCCCUGCUGCUAUACAUACUGGACCAAUUACUAGAGCUCGCGCACGCCAAUUAAAUUACCAGGAAACAGACCCUCGUGGUCAGGUUGAUUGUGCUCCGGCGUGGUCGAUAACCUCUCGGAGUUGGUUUAGCGAUUGCUAA